Molecule: unclassified non-coding RNA, 404 nt
Filed under: soil metagenome
Description: partial contains 5.8S ribosomal RNA, internal transcribed spacer 2, and large subunit ribosomal RNA
Rfam family: 5.8S ribosomal RNA (bases 1-121)
Source: RNAcentral
GAUGAAGAACGCAGCGAAAUGCGAUAAGUAAUGUGAAUUGCAGAAUUCAGUGAAUCAUCGAAUCUUUGAACGCACCUUGCGCCCUUUGGCCAUUCCGAAGGGCAUGCCUGUUUGAGUAUCAUGAACACCUCAACUCUCAUGGCUUGCCAUGAUGAGCUUGGACUUUGGGGGUCUUGCUGGCCUGUGGUCAGCUCCUCUCAAAUGAAUUAGCUUUCCAGUGUUUGGUUGGCAUCACAGGUGUGAUAACUAUCUACGCUUGUGGUUUCCACCAGGUAAACUUCAGUAACAUGGGGGUUUGCUGGAGCUCAUAAAUGUCUCUCCUCAGUGGGGACAGCUCUUUGAACGUUUGAUCUCAAAUCAGGUAGGACUACCCGCUGAACUUAAGCAUAUCAAUAAGCGGAGGA